RNAcentral lists this ribosomal RNA (375 nucleotides) under Salmonella enterica subsp. enterica. RNAcentral describes it as "partial 23S ribosomal RNA". It matches the Rfam family "Bacterial large subunit ribosomal RNA", at positions 1292 to 1667 of the family's 2925-position model. Lineage: Bacteria; Pseudomonadati; Pseudomonadota; Gammaproteobacteria; Enterobacterales; Enterobacteriaceae. RNAcentral also lists the same sequence under 1 other name. The record is from RNAcentral.
GAAUGCUGACAUAAGUAACGAUAAAGCGGGUGAAAAGCCCGCUCGCCGGAAGACCAAGGGUUCCUGUCCAACGUUAAUCGGGGCAGGGUGAGUCGACCCCUAAGGCGAGGCCGAAAGGCGUAGUCGAUGGGAAACGGGUUAAUAUUCCCGUACUUGGUGUUACUGCGAAGGGGGGACGGAGAAGGCUAUGUUGGCCGGGCGACGGUUGUCCCGGUUUAAGCGUGUAGGUGUGUGUUCCAGGUAAAUCCGGUUCACUUUAACACUGAGGCGUGACGACGAGGCACUACGGUGCUGAAGCAACAAAUGCCCUGCUUCCAGGAAAAGCCUCUAAGCAUCAGGUAACACGAAAUCGUACCCCAAACCGACACAGGUGGU